Molecule: unclassified non-coding RNA, 353 nt
Filed under: Hevea brasiliensis (rubber tree)
Lineage: Eukaryota; Viridiplantae; Streptophyta; Magnoliopsida; Malpighiales; Euphorbiaceae
Source: RNAcentral
AUAGGCAAACACGCAGAAGGACGGACUCCCCCAAGUGCAGUGUAUAGUGCCAAUUUCCCAACAGGAAUACCCAUCCCCUGACAGCCAAGAUCCCCAAGUCCCAAAAUACGCUCACCAUCUGUCACAACAAUAACUUGAAUACUUCUUUCAGGCCAGUUUUUCAAUACAUCAAGAAUCUUUCCCUUCUCCUUCAAACUUAUGUAUAGUCCCUGAGGACGCUUGAAGAUGCUUCCAUAUUUCUGACAAGCUUCACCUACUGUUGGAGUGUAAACAAUGGGAAGCAAUUCUUCAACAUUAUCAAUGAGAAGCUUGUAAAACAGCCUCUCAUUCCUCUCCUCAAGUUCCAUCAUGGC